UACGUAGGGCGCAAGCGUUGUCCGGAAUUAUUGGGCGUAAGGAGCUCGUAGGUGGCUUGUUGCGUCUGCCGUGAAAGCCCGUGGCUUAACUACGGGUCUGCGGUGGAUACGGGCAGGCUAGAGGCUGGUAGGGGCAAGCGGAAUUCCUGGUGUAGCGGUGAAAUGCGCAGAUAUCAGGAGGAACACCGGUGGCGAAGGCGGCUUGCUGGGCCAGUUCUGACGCUGAGGUGCGAAAGCGUGGGGAGCAAACAGG
Molecule: ribosomal RNA, 253 nt
Filed under: uncultured bacterium
Lineage: Bacteria
Description: partial 16S ribosomal RNA
Rfam family: Bacterial small subunit ribosomal RNA
Source: RNAcentral